GGUCUGGUCUGGUCUGGUGAUCGCCCUCGAAAGUUCUUCACUCGCAAGAAAUGUGGGGUUCAAACUUAAUCCAACUGAUUUUAUUUGUAAUUUCGAUCACUGUAACUGAGUUUCGAAAUCUACAAUCCGAUCUGUUAGGGUAGGUGAAGUUGAUUAAACCAUGCAUUAAAUUAGAUAGUGACAUUAGUGUUGAAUUUUGUAAGGGAGAUUAGUAGAAAAUACUCACAAAGUAGGAAUUGAAAUAUGAU
This 248-nucleotide long non-coding RNA is filed under the name Gossypium raimondii (Peruvian cotton). Its description in RNAcentral is "long non-coding RNA (GRAI_LNC003488)". The record is from RNAcentral. Lineage: Eukaryota; Viridiplantae; Streptophyta; Magnoliopsida; Malvales; Malvaceae.